Molecule: long non-coding RNA, 2525 nt
Organism: Pristis pectinata (smalltooth sawfish)
Lineage: Eukaryota; Metazoa; Chordata; Chondrichthyes; Rhinopristiformes; Pristidae
Exons: 5
Source: RefSeq, a predicted model, not a curated record
CGGUCCCGCCCACCGAGAUGGUGCGGAGGUAAUGGAGGCUGCCAGUAGUUGGGCGCUUUGGAGGGAAGGAAACUGAAGGAGCUGAAAAUGAGGAACUAUUGCUGCUAAUUGGGGAGUCUCGGACGAGAGGACAACAUCUGAAAGUUUGAACCAGACUCAUGAACACUAGUAGUCCUUUCAGAGCAUUGGUUUGGAGACUUGGACAAUGGGGUCCUGAGAGCAACCAAGAUUGGGCCUUCGUGGGAUAACGUCUUCUCAGGUGGACUGGGGCUUCUGUCAGAGAAAUCAGCUUACAGACUGUUCUCAGGAGUGGAAUCCUUACAUAACCCAGGGUCUGCCUGUACCUCAAAAUGGAGUCUGUUUUAUUCACCACAAAACCAAAGUAGCUGAAGUUGUUGCAGUGAAGCAAGAUGAUCACAGAAAAAUCCUCAUGCCGCUAUGCUGAAGCAGAGCAAGGCAAUCUCCAGCUGUCUGCACCUCAGCGUGUCUUGGACCUCUGUGUGGGAGAAGAGCUGGAAGUAAUGUGCAGGCAGGCACGUCUGACUGCGCCCACACCACCAGACUCACCACUGAUCACAGCAGUGGAGUAGUAAUGCACUGAGAACAGGAUCCAGGUGCACUUUGCAUCAGGCCCCACAGGUUUACAAUGAGGAAGAACUGUAAUACCGAUGGCGAUCCUGUCUGCUUGGAUGGGGUCACCAACCCUUUGGAAUAAGUUAGGUGGAAGUAAUGUUCUCAACUGAUGGAAUCAUAAAGUCCCACAGCACGGAAACAGACCCUUCGGCCCAAGUCCAUGCUGACUAUCAGGCACCCAUUUACACCAAUCCCACAAUGAUCCUGUUUUUUUAUUCUCACCACAUUUGCAUCAACUCCCCUCCCCACCCCCCAGAUUCUACCACUCACUUACACACUAAGGGCUAUUUACUGCAGCCAAUUGAUCUACUAACCUGCACCUCUUUGGGAUGUGAGAAGAAACCGGAGAAACCAGAGGAAACCCAUGUGGUCAUAGGAAGAACGUGCAAACUCCACAUGGACAUCAGCGGAGAUGAUAAAGAGAUAUUAGCACAGAACGCCAGUACUGGGCCAAACGCUGGCAAAUUGGACCAGUUUGGAUGGGGCAUCUGGUCGGCAUGGACCAGUUGGGCCAAAGGGCCUGUUUCCAUAUGGUAUGACUAUGACUCUAUGACAGAAGACCAAAGCCCUGUUAUAAGAGAUAGCUGCAACGUGUGCCAUUUUGGGUUGGUACCAUUUUAAGAAUUGUAGCUUGUGCCAAGCACCUUCUGUGUUCUUACAACAUUGCUUGGUGUGGAAUGCACCAGAGAGUAUGUCUCUGUGGAGAGAGCUACAGUGAGGAGAAGGCUGCCUUGGUACUGUAAGCUAUUAUUUAAUAAAACACAUGUUGUUAGUUUGAAUUACCGACCAUUUUCCAGAUCCUUGGAGCAGAGGUUUUGAGACAGCAGUUUUUAAGGGGCUUCUUAAAGGAGAAAAGAUAAUCAGCGAUGUUAUAGAGUCAUAGAGUUGUGCAGCACAAAAACGAGCCCUUCGGCCCACCACGUCCAUGCUGACCUUUUGGCCCAUCUACAUGAUUCCCAUUUGCCUGCAUUAGGACCGUACCCUUCUAUGCCUUGUCUGUUCAACUGCCUGCCUAAAUGUUCUUCAACGUAGUGAAUGUAUCUGACUCCACCAACUCCUCUGGCAGCAUGUUUCACAUAUCAACCACUCUCUGUGUUUAAAAAUUUUCUCUUCAAAUCCCCUUUAAAACUCUUCCUUAAACUCAUUACCUCUUGUCUUUUGAUACCCCUAAUAUGGGAAAAAGAUUCUAACUAUCUACCCUGUCUAUGUCUCAUAAUUUUAUAUACAUCUGUCGGGUCACCCCUAAACCUCCUUUGCUCCAGGGAAAAUAAGCCCAGCCUGUCCAAUCUCCCAUAACUAAAGUCCUCCAAUCCAGGCAACGUCCUGGUGAACCUCCUCUGCACUCUCUCCAGCACAACUACAUCCUUCCUACAGUGUGGCAACCAGCACUGCACACAACACUCCAAGUGUGGCUGAACGAGUAUUUUGUAAAUUUGCAACAUAACAUCACAUCUUUAAUAUUCCAUGCCUUGACCUAUGAAGGCAAGCAAGCCAUAUGUCUUCUUCACCAUGUAAUCUACCUGUGUGGUCACUUUCAGGAAAUUGUGGACUUGAACCCCAAAGUCAUCUGUUCAUCAACAUUCCUAAGAGCCCUAUCAAUUACCGUGUGUGACCUGCAUCUAUCUCACUUCCCAAAAUGUAUUACUUUGCACUUGACAGGAUUACAUUCCAUCUGCCAAUGCUCCACCCAACUUUCCAACUGAUCUAUUUCCUGCUGUAGCCUUAGACAACACCACCAACCUUUGUGUCAUCCACAAACUUACUAAUCAGAUCUCCUACAUUUGUGUCCAAGUUGAUAAUAUACAGGAAACCCCUGCAUUACAGGGUUGCAUUCUUAAAAAACAGUCCAUAUUGUGAUUUUCUGUGAAACCGCAUCAUCUGCGCAUAUGUCA